RNAcentral lists this ribosomal RNA (238 nucleotides) under uncultured bacterium. RNAcentral describes it as "partial 16S ribosomal RNA". It matches the Rfam family "Bacterial small subunit ribosomal RNA", at positions 92 to 334 of the family's 1533-position model. The record is from RNAcentral.
CGAGUGGCGGACGGGGGAGUAAUGUCUGGGAAACUGCCUGAUGGAGGGGGGUAACUACUGGAAACGGUAGCUAAUACCGCAUAACGUCGCAAGACCAAGAGGGGGACCUUCGGGCCUCUUGCCAUCGGAUGUGCCCAGAUGGGAUUAGCUAGUAGGUGGGGUAACGGCUCACCUAGGCGACGAUCCCUAGCUGGUCCGAGAGGAUGACCAGCCACACUGGAACUGAGACACGGUCCAG